Felis catus (domestic cat) is the source of this 356-nucleotide long non-coding RNA. RefSeq lists it as uncharacterized. NCBI's taxonomy places the organism in Eukaryota, Metazoa, Chordata, Mammalia, Carnivora, Felidae. The record is from RefSeq and is a predicted model, not a curated record. The transcript is spliced from 2 exons.
UCUAGUACAAUCCCAUGCCAGGCUUAUUAGGCUGGAGACACUCCAUAGUGAAAGAUGUUCUUUUGCUGUUUGCUGGAUUACUGGGGCUCUGGCUUCCAGAAGUUUUUUUGGAUGUUGGAAGCAUUGGCUCAACUCUCACUCCGAAUGCCUCAGGCUUUUUCAGGAAGUUCCAUAAAGUAAUACAGAGUGGUCUAGGGUAAAAAUGCCUCAACUGUGAACAUGAAUGAGACCUGUGCAGUGUGGACCACCCAGGCAGGCCUGCUGAAGAAGCAAGUUUGACAUCAGGUGCCCACCUUCCUUGCAGAGACCCUACCUAUGUCUCCACAUUUCUGGGCACAUACAGAGCUUUUUCACCA